Molecule: ribosomal RNA, 541 nt
Filed under: uncultured bacterium
Lineage: Bacteria
Description: bacterial SSU rRNA
Rfam family: Bacterial small subunit ribosomal RNA
Source: RNAcentral
UGAGGAAUAUUGGUCAAUGGGCGGAAGCCUGAACCAGCCAAGUAGCGUGAGGGAUGACUGCCCUAUGGGUUGUAAACUUCUUUUACAAGGGAAUAAUUGUGGGUACGCGUACCCAUUUGCAUGUACCUUAUGAAUAAGGAUCGGCUAACUCCGUGCCAGCAGCCGCGGUAAUACGGAGGAUCCGAGCGUUAUCCGGAUUUAUUGGGUUUAAAGGGAGCGUAGGCGGGCGCUUAAGUCAGCUGUGAAAGUUUGGGGCUCAACCUUAAAAUUGCAGUUGAUACUGGGUGCCUUGAGUGCAGUAUAGGCAGGCGGAAUUCGUGGUGUAGCGGUGAAAUGCUUAGAUAUCACGAAGAACUCCUAUUGCGAAGGCAGCUUGCUGGAGUGUAACUGACGCUGAUGCUCGAAAGUGUGGGUAUCAAACAGGAUUAGAUACCCUGGUAGUCCACACAGUAAACGAUGAAUACUCGCUGUUUGCGAUAUACUGCAAGCGGCCAAGCGAAAGCGUUAAGUAUUCCACCUGGGGAGUACGCCGGCAACGGUG